GUGCUCGCUUCGGCAGCACAUAUACUAAAUAUUGGAACGAUACAGAGAAGAUUAGCAUGGCCCCUGCAGAAGGAUGACACACAGGUUCAUGAAUGUCCCAUAUUUUUU
Small nuclear RNA from Myotis lucifugus (little brown bat), 108 nucleotides. The record is from Ensembl. Lineage: Eukaryota; Metazoa; Chordata; Mammalia; Chiroptera; Vespertilionidae.